RNAcentral lists this ribosomal RNA (824 nucleotides) under uncultured bacterium. RNAcentral describes it as "bacterial SSU rRNA". It matches the Rfam family "Bacterial small subunit ribosomal RNA", at positions 35 to 856 of the family's 1533-position model. The record is from RNAcentral.
GCUGGCGGCAGGCCUAACACAUGCAAGUCGAGCGGUAGAGAGAAGCUUGCUUCUCUUGAGAGCGGCGGACGGGUGAGUAAAGCCUAGGAAUCUGCCUGGUAGUGGGGGAUAACGUUCGGAAACGGACGCUAAUACCGCAUACGUCCUACGGGAGAAAGCAGGGGACCUUCGGGCCUUGCGCUAUCAGAUGAGCCUAGGUCGGAUUAGCUAGUUGGUGAGGUAAUGGCUCACCAAGGCGACGAUCCGUAACUGGUCUGAGAGGAUGAUCAGUCACACUGGAACUGAGACACGGUCCAGACUCCUACGGGAGGCAGCAGUGGGGAAUAUUGGACAAUGGGCGAAAGCCUGAUCCAGCCAUGCCGCGUGUGUGAAGAAGGUCUUCGGAUUGUAAAGCACUUUAAGUUGGGAGGAAGGGCAUUAACCUAAUACGUUAGUGUUUUGACGUUACCGACAGAAUAAGCACCGGCUAACUCUGUGCCAGCAGCCGCGGUAAUACAGAGGGUGCAAGCGUUAAUCGGAAUUACUGGGCGUAAAGCGCGCGUAGGUGGUUUGUUAAGUUGGAUGUGAAAUCCCCGGGCUCAACCUGGGAACUGCAUUCAAAACUGACUGACUAGAGUAUGGUAGAGGGUGGUGGAAUUUCCUGUGUAGCGGUGAAAUGCGUAGAUAUAGGAAGGGAACACCAGUGGCGAAGGCGACCACCUGGACUAAUACUGACACUGAGGUGCGAAAGCGUGGGGAGCAAACAGGAUUAGAUACCCUGGUAGUCCACGCCGUANCGAUGUCAACUAGCCGUUGGGAGCUUGAGCUCUAGUGGCGCAGCUACG